GACGAACGCUGGCGGCGUGCUUAACACAUGCAAGUCGAACGAAGAGCGAUGGAAGCUUGCUUCUAUCAAUCUUAGUGGCGAACGGGUGAGUAACGCGUAAUCAACCUGCCCUUCAGAGGGGGACAACAGUUGGAAACGACUGCUAAUACCGCAUACGAUCCAAUCUCGGCAUCGGGACUGGAUGAAAGGUGGCCUCUAUUUAUAAGCUAUCACUGAAGGAGGGGAUUGCGUCUGAUUAGCUAGUUGGAGGGGUAACGGCCCACCAAGGCGAUGAUCAGUAGCCGGUCUGAGAGGAUGAACGGCCACAUUGGGACUGAGACACGGCCCAGACUCCUACGGGAGGCAGCAGUGGGGAAUCUUCCGCAAUGGACGAAAGUCUGACGGAGCAACGCCGCGUGAGUGAUGACGGCCUUCGGGUUGUAAAGCUCUGUUAAUCGGGACGAAUGAUUCUUGUGCAAAUAGUGCGAGGAUUUGACGGUACCGGAAUAGAAAGCCACGGCUAACUACGUGC
This 511-nucleotide ribosomal RNA is filed under the name Veillonella atypica. RNAcentral describes it as "bacterial SSU rRNA". It matches the Rfam family "Bacterial small subunit ribosomal RNA", at positions 28 to 508 of the family's 1533-position model. The record is from RNAcentral. Lineage: Bacteria; Bacillati; Bacillota; Negativicutes; Veillonellales; Veillonellaceae.